UGGCUCAGUUGGUAGAGCAUGGUGUUUGCAAUGCCAGCAUGGUGUGUGCAACACCAGGGUUGUGGGUACGAUUCCCAC
This 78-nucleotide transfer RNA is filed under the name Salmo salar (Atlantic salmon). It matches the Rfam family "tRNA", at positions 8 to 63 of the family's 71-position model. Rfam says of the family: Transfer RNA (tRNA) molecules are approximately 80 nucleotides in length. Their secondary structure includes four short double-helical elements and three loops (D, anti-codon, and T loops). Further hydrogen bonds mediate the characteristic L-shaped molecular structure. tRNAs have two regions of fundamental functional importance: the anti-codon, which is responsible for specific mRNA codon recognition, and the 3' end, to which the tRNAs corresponding amino acid is attached (by aminoacyl-tRNA synthetases). tRNAs cope with the degeneracy of the genetic code in two manners: having more than one tRNA (with a specific anti-codon) for a particular amino acid; and 'wobble' base-pairing, i.e. permitting non-standard base-pairing at the 3rd anti-codon position. Lineage: Eukaryota; Metazoa; Chordata; Actinopteri; Salmoniformes; Salmonidae. The record is from Rfam by way of RNAcentral.